RNAcentral lists this ribosomal RNA (287 nucleotides) under uncultured bacterium. RNAcentral's name for it is "partial 16S ribosomal RNA". It matches the Rfam family "Bacterial small subunit ribosomal RNA", at positions 334 to 637 of the family's 1533-position model. The record is from RNAcentral.
UUAUCCUACGGGGCGCAGCAGUGGGGAAUAUUGCACAAUGGGGGAAACCCUGAUGCAGCAACGCCGCGUGAAGGAAGACGGUUUUCGGAUUGUAAACUUCUGUUCUUAGUGAAGAAGAAUGACGGUAGCUAAGGAGCAAGCCACGGCUAACUACGUGCCAGCAGCCGCGGAAAUACGUAGGUGGCAAGCGUUGUCCGGAAUUACUGGGUGUAAAGGGAGCGCAGGCGGGAAGCCAAGUCAGCUGUGAAACCUACGGGUCUAACUUGUAGACUGCAGUUGAACCUGGU